RNAcentral lists this ribosomal RNA (504 nucleotides) under uncultured bacterium. RNAcentral's name for it is "partial 16S ribosomal RNA". It matches the Rfam family "Bacterial small subunit ribosomal RNA", at positions 28 to 507 of the family's 1533-position model. The record is from RNAcentral.
GACGAACGCUGGCGGCGUGCUUAACACAUGCAAGUCGAACGGUGAAGCGCUUGCCUUUUUGGUGGGUGUGGAUGAGUGGCGAACGGGUGAGUAACACGUGAGUAACCUGCCCUCUUCUUCUGGAUAACCUCAUGAAAGUGGGGCUAAUACGGGGUAUUCCGGGUCUGUCGCAUGGCGGGUUUGGGAAAGAUUGCGCCUUUGGGUGUUUUCGGUGGGGGGUGGGCUCGCGGCCUAUCAGCUUGUUGGUGGGGUGAUGGCCUACCAAGGCGGUGACGGGUAGCCGGCCUGAGAGGGUGGACGGCCACACUGGGACUGAGACACGGCCCAGACUCCUGCGGGAGGCAGCAGUGGGGAAUAGUGCACAAUGGGCGCAAGCCUGAUGCAGCGACGCCGCGUGAGGGACGGAGGCCUUCGGGUUGUGAACCUCUUUCGCCAGUGAAGCAGGCCUGCUCCUGUGUGGGUGGGUUGACGGUAGCUGGAUAAGAAGCGCCGGCUAACUACGUG